GACGAACGCUGGCGGCGUGCCUAACACAUGCAAGUCGAACGGUAAGGCCUUGUUUUUGUGUGGUGCGCGAGUGGCGAACGGGUGAGUAACACGUGAGUAACCUGCCCUUGACUUUGGGGUAACUUCAGGAAACUUGAGCUAAUAUCCGAUAUAAGCUCCUGCUGCAUGGUGGUUGUGGGAAAGUUGCGGCGGUGCGGGAUGGACUCGCGGUUUAUCAGCGUGUUGGUGGGGUAGUGGCUUACCAAGGCUUUGACGGGUAGCCGGCCUGAGAGCGUGACCGGGCACAAUGGGCCUGAGGUAGGGCCCAGACGGGAACGGGGGGCAGCGGUGGGAAAUAUUGCGCAAUGGGCGGAAGCCUGGUGCAGCGACGCCGCGUGCGGAAUGACGGUCUUCGGGUUGUAAACCGCUUUCGCCUGUGACGAAGCGUGAGUGACGGUAAUGGGUAAAGAAGCACCGGCUAACUACGUG
Molecule: ribosomal RNA, 468 nt
Filed under: uncultured bacterium
Lineage: Bacteria
Description: partial 16S ribosomal RNA
Rfam family: Bacterial small subunit ribosomal RNA
Source: RNAcentral